GCUCUGAUUCUUUAGCUCUGAGCAAAGAAAAUCAGACUACAUAUGGGUACUUCUCUCUCCUUCUCUAUCUGUCCAUAGCUUUUUCUUCUUGCCAGAUCUAUAUGCUCUAUCCAGAUCAUAAUGUGAUGGUGGCUUAUGAUCAAAAUUAGAUGAUGCCAAGCCACCUCAAGGUUGAAACCCUCUCAUCCUCUCAGCAAUGUUGCCACCGUCGUCCCUCUCCAAACCCGCAACCUCGCCGUUGUCCCUUGACGCCUCCAACCCCCUCUGUGAUGCCAUUAAGGAGCUCCAGCGCCACCAGCGCACUGAUGUUGUGCGAUUGGCAUGGGAACCUCAGAGCUUUCUGCUUCGCACGUUUAAGCUGUCUCUCGGACAGUCCUACUCCUCGCUGCUCGAUCUUAAGCACAAUCUGCAAGAAGGGUUGUAGGGAAAUCCUGUUGCUAAAACCAUGAAGAAUGUUUCAAGAGGCAUGGAUGUUCUUACAGUUCCAUUUACCAUGGGCUUUCCAAAGAGUGGAGGCUGAGUUCCAAGGUUCAAUUCCCAAGAGCUGCGUGCAUUGUCAAUUUAUGUUCUCAAAGCAUCUUGCAUUGCCCAUUGAAUAGGUUGUGUGGUUGUUCAUAUCUAGAUUAGUAUAUGAAAUGUUUCAGUUGUUAUAAAUAUUGUUUGUGGUUAAUCUCUGUUGGAAGUUAUGCUAAUCAAAUGUGUGGAAUGGCAAAAUAUUCACCAAGGCAAUUUAAUCUUUCAAUCGCAUGGCACUUAGUUCCAUAAGGCGGGAUAGUCACAUAAUGGUCUGAUACAACUCUUGAAUUCUGUUGCAUGCAAUUUUAAAGGUUGUUGAUGUGAUUAUGCCUCACUGUGGAUUUGUCACAGAUUCCCAAAGUUGUUGAGAAUUCUGAGGGUGCUCGGACCACACCAUCAGUAGUUGCCUUCAAUCAGAAAGGAG
This is a long non-coding RNA of Rosa chinensis, 940 nucleotides long. RefSeq lists it as uncharacterized. NCBI's taxonomy places the organism in Eukaryota, Viridiplantae, Streptophyta, Magnoliopsida, Rosales, Rosaceae. The record is from RefSeq and is a predicted model, not a curated record. The transcript is spliced from 4 exons.